This 253-nucleotide ribosomal RNA is filed under the name uncultured bacterium. Its description in RNAcentral is "partial 16S ribosomal RNA". It matches the Rfam family "Bacterial small subunit ribosomal RNA", at positions 524 to 776 of the family's 1533-position model. The record is from RNAcentral.
CACGUAGGGUGCGAGCGUUGUCCGGAAUUAUUGGGCGUAAAGAGCUCGUAGGCGGUGUGUCGCGUCGGCCGUGAAAACCUGCAGCUCAACUGCGGGCCUGCAGCCGAUACGGGCAGGCUAGAGUUCGGUAGGGGAGACUGGAAUUCCUGGUGUAGCGGUGAAAUGCGUAGAUAUCGGAAGGAACACCAGUGGCGAAAGCGGCUUCCUGGUCCAGCACCGACGUUCAGGCACGAAAGCGUGGGGAGCAAACAGG